ACGCUAUCUACAGGCUUAACACAUGCAAGUCGAGGGGCAGCAUUUUAGUUUGCUUGCAAACUGAAGAUGGCGACCGGCGCACGGGUGAGUAACACGUAUCCAACCUGCCGAUAACUCCGGGAUAGCCUUUCGAAAGAAAGAUUAAUACCGGAUAGCAUACGAAUAUCGCAUGAUAUUUUUAUUAAAGAAUUUCGGUUAUCGAUGGGGAUGCGUUCCAUUAGUUUGUUGGCGGGGUAACGGCCCACCAAGACUACGAUGGAUAGGGGUUCUGAGAGGAAGGUCCCCCACAUUGGAACUGAGACACGGUCCAAACUCCUACGGGAGGCAGCAGUGAGGAAUAUUGGUCAAUGGGCGCGAGCCUGAACCAGCCAAGUAGCGUGAAGGAUGAAGGCUCUAUGGGUCGUAAACUUCUUUUAUAUGGGAAUAAAGUUUUCCACGUGUGGAAUUUUGUAUGUACCAUAUGAAUAAGGGUCGGCUAACUCCGUGCCAGCAGCCGCGGUAAUACGGAGGAUCCGAGCGUUAUCCGGAUUUAUUGGGUUUAAAGGGAGCGUAGGUGGAUUGUUAAGUCAGUUGUGAAAGUUUGCGGCUCAACCGUAAAAUUGCAGUUGAAACUGGCAGUCUUGAGUACAGUAGAGGUGGGCGGAAUUCGUGGUGUAGCGGUGAAAUGCUUAGAUAUCACGAAGAACUCCGAUUGCGAAGGCAGCUCACUAGACUGUCACUGACACUGAUGCUCGAAAGUGUGGGUAUCAAACAGGAUUAGAUACCCUGGUAGUCCACACAGUAAACGAUGAAUACUCGCUGUUUGCGAUAUACAGUAAGCGGCCAAGCGAAAGCAUUAAGUAUUCCACCUGGGGAGUACGCCGGCAACGGUGAAACUCAAAGGAAUUGACGGGGGCCCGCACAAGCGGAGGAACAUGUGGUUUAAUUCGAUGAUACGCGAGGAACCUUACCCGGGCUUAAAUUGCAACAGAAUAUAUUGGAAACAGUAUAGCCGUAAGGCUGUUGUGAAGGUGCUGCAUGGUUGUCGUCAGCUCGUGCCGUGAGGUGUCGGCUUAAGUGCCAUAACGAGCGCAACCCUUAUCUUUAGUUACUAACAGGUCAUGCUGAGGACUCUAGAGAGACUGCCGUCGUAAGAUGUGAGGAAGGUGGGGAUGACGUCAAAUCAGCACGGCCCUUACGUCCGGGGCUACACACGUGUUACAAUGGGGGGUACAGAAGGCGGCUACCUGGUGACAGGAUGCUAAUCCCAAAAACCUCUCUCAGUUCGGAUCGAAGUCUGCAACCCGACUUCGUGAAGCUGGAUUCGCUAGUAAUCGCGCAUCAGCCAUGGCGCGGUGAAUACGUUCCCGGGCCUUGUACACACCGCCCGUCAAGCCAUGAAAGCCGGGGGUACCUGAAGUACGUAACCGAAAGGAGCGUCCUAGGGUAAGACUGGUAAUUGGG
This 1443-nucleotide ribosomal RNA is filed under the name uncultured organism. Its description in RNAcentral is "SSU rRNA". It matches the Rfam family "Bacterial small subunit ribosomal RNA". The record is from RNAcentral.